UGUGUGAUGCGAAAUAUUUUU
Molecule: non-coding RNA, 21 nt
Filed under: Caenorhabditis elegans
Lineage: Eukaryota; Metazoa; Nematoda; Chromadorea; Rhabditida; Rhabditidae
Source: RNAcentral